UACGAGUGGCGCAAACGUUAUUCGGAUUUACUGGGCCUAAAGAGUUCGUAGGCGGCGCAGCAAGUAGGGCGUGAAAGCCCUCGGCUCAACCGAGGAAUUGCGCUCUAAACUACUGUGCUUGAGGAAGCUAGAGGUGAGCGGAACUGAUGGUGGAGCGGUGAAAUGCGUUGAUAUCAUCAGGAACACCGGAGGCGAAGGCGGCUCACUGGGGCUUAUCUGACGCUGAGGAACGAAAGCCAGGGGAGCGAACGGG
This 253-nucleotide ribosomal RNA is filed under the name uncultured bacterium. RNAcentral describes it as "partial 16S ribosomal RNA". It matches the Rfam family "Bacterial small subunit ribosomal RNA", at positions 524 to 776 of the family's 1533-position model. The record is from RNAcentral.